This 229-nucleotide ribosomal RNA is filed under the name uncultured bacterium. Its description in RNAcentral is "partial 16S ribosomal RNA". It matches the Rfam family "Bacterial small subunit ribosomal RNA", at positions 568 to 796 of the family's 1533-position model. The record is from RNAcentral.
UGCGUAGGCGGGGCAAUUAGACAGUGGUGAAAUCCUGCGGCUUAACCGUAGAACUGCCAUUGAUACUGUUGUCCUUGAGUAUAGUUGAGGUGGGCGGAAUGUGUAAUGUAGCGGUGAAAUGCAUAGAGAUUACACAGAACACCAAUUGCGAAGGCAGCUCACUAAGCUAUAACUGACGCUGAGGCACGAAAGCGUGGGGAGCGAACAGGAUUAGAUACCCUGGUAGUCC